Molecule: ribosomal RNA, 440 nt
Filed under: uncultured bacterium
Lineage: Bacteria
Description: partial 16S ribosomal RNA
Rfam family: Bacterial small subunit ribosomal RNA
Source: RNAcentral
CCUACGGGAGACAGCAGUGGGGGAUAUUGCACAAUGGGGGAAACCCUGAUGCAGCGACGCCGCGUGUGGGAAGACGGUCCUCUGGAUUGUAAACCACUGUCCCCAGGGACGAAGAUGACGGUACCUGGGGAUGAAGCUCCGGCUAACUACGUGCCAGCAGCCGCGGUAAUACGUAGGGAGCGAGCGUUGUCCGGAAUUACUGGGUGUAAAGGGAGCGUAGGCGGGACUGCAAGUUGGGUGUCAAAUCUACCGGCUCAACCGGUAGCCGCACUCAAAACUGCAGUUCUUGAGUGAGGUAGAGGCAGGCGGAAUUCCUAGUGUAGCGGUGAAAUGCGUAGAUAUUAGGAGGAACACCAGUGGCGAAGGCGGCCUGCUGGGCUUUUACUGACGCUGAGGCUCGAAAGUGUGGGGAGCAAACAGGAUUAGAUACCCUGGUAGUC